Molecule: ribosomal RNA, 186 nt
Filed under: uncultured bacterium
Lineage: Bacteria
Description: partial 16S ribosomal RNA
Rfam family: Bacterial small subunit ribosomal RNA
Source: RNAcentral
CAUGAAGCUGGAAUUGCUAGUAAUCGCGGAUCAGCAAGCCGCGGUGAAUACGUUCCCGGGCCUUGUACACACCGCCCGUCACACCAUGGAAGUCUGCAAUGCCCGAAGCCGGUGGCCUAACCACUUAUGUGGAAGGAGCCGUCUAAGGCAGGGCAGAUGACUGGGGUGAAGUCGUAACAAGGUAGC